GAGCUGAACCAGAAACUUUCUGUUUGGCCUCUGUGGAAAAGCUCAGGACAAGACAACUUUCUCCUCACCAUGGUGGCUGAGUUCUGGAGGCUGUAAUUUCGUGGAUUUCUGUGGAGCUGGCAGAGCUCAUGCCUGCAGGGCUCUGAGAGGAGGAAGCCUGGGGCAGGACCUGCGCCAGUGGCUGCUGGGCACAGCAUGGAGCACCCCAGCAAGAUGGAAUUCUUCCAGAAGCUGGGCUACGACCGGGAGGAUGUGCUCCGGGUGCUGGGCAAGCUGGGCGAGGGCGCCCUGGUCAACGACGUGCUGCAGGAGCUUAUCCGCACGGGCAGCCGCCCGGGGGCCCUGGAGCACCCGGCUGCACCCAGGCUAGUGCCUCGGGGCUCCUGUGGGGUCCUGGACUCUGCCCAGCAUGGCCCGGGGACAGCCCUGGAAGAGGACUUCGGAACCCUGGCCAGUUCUCUGCGACCCAUAGUGAUUGAUGGCAGCAACGUGGCGAUGAGCCAUGGAAAUAAAGAAACCUUCUCUUGCCGGGGAAUCAAGCUGGCUGUUGACUGGUUCAGGGACAGAGGACACACCUACAUCAAAGUUUUUGUUCCAUCCUGGAGGAAGGACCCACCAAGAGCUGACACCCCUAUCAGAGGUAUGCUGGAGCAGAUGUAUGCUCAAGAGGUACUAGACACGUUUCCUUGGUGCACUUCUAACAUCGAUAGUCAAAUAUCUACUUAGUUGUUUGUUUAAUGAUAUUUGUCUUCCUCACUGUGCUAUAAGCUCCAUGAAGGCACUGAUUAUGACUGUUCAAUGCC
Molecule: small RNA, 803 nt
Filed under: Pan troglodytes (chimpanzee)
Lineage: Eukaryota; Metazoa; Chordata; Mammalia; Primates; Hominidae
Description: processed transcript
Source: RNAcentral